AACACAUCAGCGGAAGAAGACAAAAGCAGCUGGUCUUGGAGAAUCCGCCAGGGGAAGAGCACACUGGCAGGCACCGCAGGCCAUCGAUCGUCAGAAAGACACGGAGUUUGGCCAGAAUUAUCAGAGAAGAGUUUGGCCAGAGGGGUCAGAGAAGACUCCAGCGGAAAACCAUCUCCCCUGUGACUCCAGAAUCUUCUGAGAGCUACUUCUACUUAAUAAAACCUUGCACUCAUUCUCCAAGCCCACAUGUGAUCCGAUUCAUCCAGUACACCAAGUGUCCAGGGACAUCUAGAUGAUAGAAGUUCCUUCAGAUGGGUCCCUGGUGUGAGGGUGUCCUGUAUCAGACUGCCUAUUGAAGUUCAACCUGUGGUUCAAGACAGGAUCUCAUUCAGAAUACUACUUUCAUUCAGGCUGGAGUGCAGUGGCAUGAUCUUAGCUCUCUGCAACUUCCGCCUCCUGGGCUCAAGCGAUUCUCCUGUCUCAGGCUCCGGAGUAGCUGGGACUACAGGCAUGCGCCACAACACCAG
Molecule: long non-coding RNA, 527 nt
Filed under: Homo sapiens (human)
Lineage: Eukaryota; Metazoa; Chordata; Mammalia; Primates; Hominidae
Description: HSALNT0318902
Source: RNAcentral